CCUACGGGUGGCUGCAGUGAGGAAUAUUGGUCAAUGGGCGCGAGCCUGAACCAGCCAAGUCGCGUGAGGGAAGACGGUCCUAUGGAUUGUAAACCUCUUUUGUCGGGGAGCAACAGACGCCACGCGUGGCGUUCCGAGAGUACCCGAAGAAAAAGCAUGGGCUAACUCCGUGCCAGCAGCCGCGGUAAUACGGAGGAGGCGAGCGUUAUCCGGGUUUAUUGGGGUUAAAGGGUGCGAAGGCGGUCUGGAAAGACAGCGGGCCAAACCCGGGGCUCAACCCCGGCCCGCCGUUGAAACUGGCAGUCUCGAGUUGGAGAGAAGUAUGCGGAAUGCGCGGUGUAGCGGUGAAAUGCAUAGAUAUCGCGCAGAACUCCGAUUGCGAAGGCAGCAUGCCGGCUCCACACUGACGCUGAGGCACGAAAGCGUGGGUAGCGAACAGGAUUAGAUACCCGGGUAGUC
Molecule: ribosomal RNA, 459 nt
Filed under: uncultured bacterium
Lineage: Bacteria
Description: partial 16S ribosomal RNA
Rfam family: Bacterial small subunit ribosomal RNA
Source: RNAcentral